This 905-nucleotide long non-coding RNA is filed under the name Mus musculus (house mouse). RNAcentral describes it as "long non-coding RNA chr1:178515770-178516675". Lineage: Eukaryota; Metazoa; Chordata; Mammalia; Rodentia; Muridae. The record is from RNAcentral.
CAGCAGAAUGUAAUAUUGUAGAUUAAGUUUCUGCUAAGCAAUUUCACAGAAAAAAAUACAAACAAAAUAUGUCAUUGGUUGAGAGUGAUGCGGUGGCAGAAUUCUUGCCUAGGACACAUGAGACUUUGGGUUCUGCCUCCCAACACUACCCCCUUCCAAAAGUCUGAAUUAUGAUGCAGAAAUUUCCUUCACACACAUCUAACAAGCGCCACACAAUGAGUACUAGAGACUUAGAAGGUUGUUAAGGUGGCCUCUGACUAGGGAACACAUGAUCUCAUGCAGGAGGUAUGUAGCCUCUAAAUGGCCACUUCAUCUCUAAACUUGAACAUUUCUAAUUCACAAUCACUGUGUAUCCUAGCAUUGCAUGGUGGCUGUUGACUUUUUUUUUUUUUAAGAAGCAAUAUAGUUAGAAGGGAAAGGGGGUUGUCAGGCAGAUGUGUGGACAGCCAUGCUGGCUACAUGUUAAGGAUUAGGGGGAACCUUGAACACAGUCCCAAAGCAAUGGACAAGACUGGCAUGAAAUGAGCUGGGGAAAGAGUCUUCUAGAAAGUGGGCCGGCCUUACAGGAGCAAAAAUUCGUGGUAAUUCCGAGCCUUGAAAUGCCAGGGUGGGGGAUCUCCACCUGCUCAGAGGAGAAGGGGAGGGGGGAAGGAUUGUGGGAGGGCGUGGCUGGGAAAGGGCAGUGAGAGGGAUAUAAAGUAAGUAAAAGAUAAAAUAAAAAUUUUAAAAAUUACACCAUUCAUUCAUUCAUUCAUUCAUUCGCGUGUGUGUGUGUGCUCGCAUAGGCACACAUGACCCCGCACUUGUGUGGAGGUCAGAGGACAACUUGCAAUAGUUCUCUCCUACCUUGUGGGCAAUGGGAUCAUAUCCAGGUUGUCAGGCUUGGCAACAGAGUGCCUUUACCC